Cricetulus griseus (Chinese hamster) is the source of this 2129-nucleotide non-coding RNA. Lineage: Eukaryota; Metazoa; Chordata; Mammalia; Rodentia; Cricetidae. The record is from RefSeq and is a predicted model, not a curated record.
UAAAAACAGCUCUGAUAAAGCAUGGUCACUACUAUGUAUCAUCAAGCAGGUCCACAUAUGACCUCAGACAAACUUUUUGGGACAAUGGCAAGAAGCAGCCACAUUCUUCAUCAAAAUUUCACAAGAAAAUCUCUAGGUAACAAACUAAAAUUCUUCUGUGAAACCCCUGGAAGCAGCGCCUCUACAGAUCAAAUCCAGAAAAAUCUAGGAUCUACAAAUUAGACUUAAGGUGUGACAGCUUCCCUUUCCCCCUCCCCCACACAAAACCUUUAUGUGUAUCUUCAAAAGCACUUCUGCUUUCUUCUUUCUUUAUGGCCUGCAUUCUACUCUGUUGUUUCCACAUUGUCCUUUGAACUUUGAAUACUGAGAAACCUCACUUUAUCCUCAUUGAGGGAUAUAAUUUUGUGUCACCAUGACAUCUCUUCUAUCCUUUAUAUCUUAUCAUAAUGAAUAGAAUUUAGGACUUGUGGAUGGGAAAACAAUUUGCCAAUUGAAAUAUUGUGAUGUCUUAUGCAAUUCAUGUAUCUAAUAAAAAGUAUUUGAUUAGUCACAGUAGAACACAGAGCUUCAUUAGGGACAAAGUCUUAUAGACCACAAUAGAUAGUCUCAAACCCAAGAAUCUCAGAAAUGUUUGGGCAGGAAUAAACCUGUUUUAUAGUUAAUGUUCUAUUCUGUGAAGAAAUUCCUUGACCAACACAACUCAUAUAAAGGGAAGUUAUUGGGUGUUUGCAAUUGUCCUUGGUUGCCCCCCAGAGUUUGAAAGUAAGUAAUACUCUAUUACUUUUAUUUUUAUUUUUUUUUAAUUUAGAAGCACUCUUAUUUACAUAUUAAUCCCCCAUUCCCUGGCCCUCCCAUCUUCCCUUGCUCCCCACUUACCCCCCAACCCAUACCUUACCCAUUCCCCAGGGAUAGUGAGACCCUCCAUGGGAACCAUCAAAGUCUAUCACAUCAUUUGGGGGGAGGGCCUAGGCCCUCCUUCCUGUAUCUGGGCUGCAGUUGUAUUCCUCCAUAGGGAACUGGCUCCCAAAGUCCAUUUGUGCUCUAGGGAUAAACACUGGCUCCACUGUUAGAUACCCAUAGACUGCCCUGGCCUCCUAGCUUGUACCCAUAUUCAGAGGGCUUGGUCAACUUUACGACUCGGGUCUCCUUGCUCUCACUACAUCAGGUCAACUAUUUCUGCAGGUUUCUCCAGCACAGUGUUGGCUCCUUAUGGGGCCUCUGUGCAUGUGUGUACUCUGGCUGUGUGAGAGUAGCAUGCUUCAAUGAUGGGAACACUCUGUUUCUAAAGACACUACACAUUUUGUUCAAAGGAAUUUGAAGAAUCUGUCAGGAUCUGACUUGGAAGACUCCUCCAUGAGAACUAGAUCACCCACUACUACAAGGUUCUAUAUAAGCUGCCCCAUGAGAAAAAUAUUCAACAUAUGUUCCUGACUCUAAAGCCCAUGAAUCACAGCAAUGUCUAACUCAGAAUGACAUCCUCAGUGAUUCAGUAGUAGCCCUUUUGUAAUUGGUGCAAGCAAAAGUGGCCUCUUUUAUUUUAAAAUUUGCUCAGUGGGAAGGUAUUCAUGCCUGGUACUGUUAAGUAAGGCAAGUAUUUGUGCUAGGAGUUUUCAUAGACCUUAGAAGAGAAUUCACAGUGGCCAUUUUCCUCAUCCAAUGUAAGUACUAUGUGUAUUCUAAAAAAUUAUGCCUGUAACCUCAAAUAACUGAAGCUCUCACUCUUCAUCAAAGAAUCUUCUCUUUUAAAUAGGAAGUAUUACAAAGAUAUAUAACUAUUCAAAAUGCAGAGCAUAAGUGACCAUGACAUGGCCAGCCUCAAUCUACAACACAACAUCUGAGUUUCUAAUAGGUUUUCUAGUCUCCAGUGGUCAGCCUAAAGAAAUUCACAUAAGAACAACACUAAGAAAACUCAUUAGUGUGUCGUGUGAGUGUGUGUUUGUGUGUGUGUGUGUGUGUGUGUGUGUGUGUGUGUGUGUGUGUGCAAAUAGUAAUUAAAGAAGAAAUCACUAAUUGAAGGAAGUUGGGGCAUAGAGGAGGAGUUGAAACAGAAAGGCAUGGGGUGAAAAUGAUGUACAUGUACUACUGAUGUAUCAAUUUCUGAAAAAAUUAAAUAUGUCUUUUUAUCACUA